Molecule: long non-coding RNA, 640 nt
Organism: Ochotona princeps (American pika)
Lineage: Eukaryota; Metazoa; Chordata; Mammalia; Lagomorpha; Ochotonidae
Exons: 4
Source: RefSeq, a predicted model, not a curated record
AUCUGAUGGUUCCCAAGGUAACUGUAACAAAGGGAAACGUAGAACGUGGAAGGCUCCAGAGGAGGUCCAAGGCCUCUGUGCACUCACCGGCCACGCUCAGGCGCACGGCGGCCUCCUGGUAGCUGGAGUCCUCCCUGAAGACACACCGGUACUCGCCAUCGUCGGAGGCCCUGAUGCCUCGGAUCCUCAAAGCCGCGAUCCCCUCAGCGAGCUCCUCCGGCACCAACGUGGCCCUCCCGCGGUACUCGGGCAUCUGCUCGUCCUCCAGGUCACGCCCGGCCUGGUGCACCAGCACGGCAGGCGAGAAGUGACCACGUGAGAGAUUCCGAAUGCACAUGCAUGGGGAGAACAGAAGAGGACCGCUUACACGCAGGGAGACGCCCAGCUUUGCAGUCCGGAGAGGAGACUCACCUGCAUCCAGGAUGGGCAGCUGCAGGAGGACGAGGCGUUCCUGCUCUUUCUCAUGGUGAAGUUUCCAGAUGACGCCAACUGCACCCACCAGGAGAAGUGUCAACAGCACCAGGAGUGAGAUCAACAAGAAAUGCAAGAUGAGAACUUAAUCAUCUACAAUUGUAGAAGGACAUUAUGACCCUGGAAGGUCAGCGAGCACAGGAUUACAAUUGAUUGUAUAAUAUUUGUA